This 369-nucleotide ribosomal RNA is filed under the name Triticum aestivum (bread wheat). RNAcentral's name for it is "partial small subunit ribosomal RNA". Lineage: Eukaryota; Viridiplantae; Streptophyta; Magnoliopsida; Poales; Poaceae. The record is from RNAcentral.
AUGAAGGCCCUUAUCGUUAUGGCUCCUACAGAGGCUCCGGUACAAGAGGGAGAGAAGAGGAAGGAAAGAGUCAUAACCGGAGCUCCUUUCACGUGGAUUGCAGCGAACUUUGCACAUUGCCCUGAGGAUGCUACUGAUGAUGUGAUCCAGACACAUGCUUGUGUCUACAUGUGGUACGUUAUCUCCAGGACUUUGUUUGCUGACGCCAUAUGCAAGAACGCUCCAUGGAUGUGGCUUAAGGCAUUGACUGUCUUCGACAACCAAUGGAGUUGGGGUUUAGCGGAAUUGGCCUACUUGUACCGACAGGUAGUUGGUUGGUUUGUUUUCACUUCAAUUCUACAUUACGAAUGCAACCUUGCUUUUAAGUGA